AGGUGAAACUGAAUUGAUUCAAUUUUUAUGUUACAGGAGAUUACCUGGGGCAAUUGAUGUUAUCGGUCAGACUAUAACUAUCAGCCGAGUAGAAGGAAGGCGACGGGCAAAUGAGAACAGCAACAUACAGGUCCUUUCUGAAAGAUCUGCUACUGAAGUAGACAACAAUUUUAGCAAACCACCUCCGUUUUUCCCUCCAGGAGCUCCUCCCACUCACCUUCCACCUCCUCCAUUUCUUCCACCUCCUCCGACUGUCAGCACUGCUCCACCUCUGAUUCCACCACCGGGUUUUCCUCCUCCACCAGGCGCUCCACCUCCAUCUCUUAUACCAACAAUAGAAAGUGGACAUUCCUCUGGUUAUGAUAGUCGUUCUGCACGUGCAUUUCCAUAUGGCAAUGUUGCCUUCCCCCAUCUUCCUGGUUCUGCUCCUUCAUGGCCUAGUCUUGUGGACACCAGCAAGCAGUGGGACUAUUAUGCCAGAAGAGAGAAAGACCGAGAUAGAGAGAGAGACAGAGACAGAGAGCGAGACCGUGAUCGGGACAGAGAAAGAGAACGCACCAGAGAGAGAGAGAGGGAGCGUGAUCACAGUCCUACACCAAGUGUUUUCAACAGCGAUGAAGAACGAUACAGAUACAGGGAAUAUGCAGAAAGAGGUUAUGAGCGUCACAGAGCAAGUCGAGAGAAAGAAGAACGACAUAGAGAAAGACGACACAGGGAGAAAGAGGAAACCAGACAUAAGUCUUCUCGAAGUAAUAGUAGACGUCGCCAUGAAAGUGAAGAAGGAGAUAGUCACAGGAGACACAAACACAAAAAAUCUAAAAGAAGCAAAGAAGGAAAAGAAGCGGGCAGUGAGCCUGCCCCUGAACAGGAGAGCACCGAAGCUACACCUGCAGAAUAGGCAUGGUUUUGGCCUUUUGUGUAUAUUAGUACCAGAAGUAGAUACUAUAAAUCUUGUUAUUUUUCUGGAUAAUGUUUAAGAAAUUUACCUUAAAUCUUGUUCUGUUUGUUAGUAUGAAAAGUUAACUUUUUUUCCAAAAUAAAAGAGUGAAUUUUUCAUGUUAAGUUAAAAA
This 1070-nucleotide small RNA is filed under the name Pongo abelii (Sumatran orangutan). RNAcentral describes it as "retained intron". The record is from RNAcentral. Lineage: Eukaryota; Metazoa; Chordata; Mammalia; Primates; Hominidae.